UUACAUUCAACCCUUCACAAGUGGGACAAUAUUUAUGUCUAUGGACUUUUGUCACUAUACGUAUUACUACUGUAGUUAAUUAUUGUGUUUAUAUGUCACUAAUCUGCCCUUGCUUCCAUGGAUUACUCUCUCACGUGUAACAACCCUCUUCAUUCUAUAUCACAAUUUUUCAUUUUUCUCUUAUUUCUCUCUUUUUUUAGUUACGCUUAAUUCUAACUUCAUUCUCCUAAUCUAUUUCUAUCAUUUAAAAAAA
RNAcentral lists this long non-coding RNA (253 nucleotides) under Lathyrus oleraceus (garden pea). RNAcentral describes it as "Pisum sativum (pea) long non-coding RNA (PSAT_LNC023159)". Lineage: Eukaryota; Viridiplantae; Streptophyta; Magnoliopsida; Fabales; Fabaceae. The record is from RNAcentral.